This 475-nucleotide ribosomal RNA is filed under the name uncultured bacterium. Its description in RNAcentral is "bacterial SSU rRNA". It matches the Rfam family "Bacterial small subunit ribosomal RNA", at positions 915 to 1391 of the family's 1533-position model. The record is from RNAcentral.
GGGGACCCGCAAGCGGUGGAUGAUGUGGAUUAAUUCGAUGCAACGCGAAAAACCUUACCUACCCUUGACAUGUACGGAAGACCGAAGAGAUUUGGUUGUGCUCGAAAGAGAACCGUAACACAGGUGCUGCAUGGCUGUCGUCAGCUCGUGUCGUGAGAUGUUGGGUUAAGUCCCGCAACGAGCGCAACCCUUGUCAUUAGUUGCUACAUUUAGUUGAGCACUCUAAUGAGACUGCCGGUGACAAACCGGAGGAAGGUGGGGAUGACGUCAAGUCCUCAUGGCCCUUAUGGGUAGGGCUUCACACGUCAUACAAUGGUACAUACAGAGGGCCGCCAACCCGCGAGGGGGAGCUAAUCCCAGAAAGUGUAUCGUAGUCCGGAUCGCAGUCUGCAACUCGACUGCGUGAAGUUGGAAUCGCUAGUAAUCGCGGAUCAGCAUGUCGCGGUGAAUACGUUCCCGGGGUCUUGUACACACC